AGAGUUUGAUCAUGGCUCAGAACGUACGCUGGCGGCACGCCUAACACAUGCAAGUCGAACGAAGUAGCAAUACUUAGUGGCAGACGGGUGAGUAACAUGUAGGUAUCUGCCCUUUGGCCUGGAAUAACACGAGGAAACUUGUGCUAAUACCGGAUAAGUCUUUACGGAGAAAGCUUUAUGCACCAUUGGAUGAGCCUGCACUUGAUUAGUUUGUUGGUGGGGUAAUGGCCUACCAAGACUGUGAUCAAUAGCUGAUUUGAGAGGAUGAUCAGCCACAUUGGGACUGAGACACGGCCCAAACUCCUACGGGAGGCAGCAGUGGGGAAUCUUGCACAAUGGAGGAAACUCUGAUGCAGCGAUGCCGCGUGAGUGAAGAAGGCCCUUGGGUUGUAAAGCUCUUUCGUCGGGGAAGAAAAUGACUGUACCCGAAUAAGAAGGUCCGGCUAACUUCGUGCCAGCAGCCGCGGUAAUACGAAGGGACCUAGCGUAGUUCGGAAUUACUGGGCUUAAAGAGUUCGUAGGUGGUUGAAAAAGUUAGUGGUGAAAUCCCAGAGCUUAACUCUGGAACUGCCAUUAAAACUUUUCAGCUAGAGUAUGAUAGAGGAAAGCAGAAUUUCUAGUGUAGAGGUGAAAUUCGUAGAUAUUAGAAAGAAUACCAAUUGCGAAGGCAGCUUUCUGGAUCAUUACUGACACUGAGGAACGAAAGCAUGGGUAGCGAAGAGGAUUAGAUACCCUCGUAGUCCAUGCCGUAAACGAUGUGUGUUAGACGUUGGAAAUUUAUUUUCAGUGUCGCAGGGAAACCGAUAAACACACCGCCUGGGGAGUACGACCGCAAGGUUAAAACUCAAAUGAAUUGACGGGGACCCGCACAAGUAGUGGAGCAUGUGGUUUAAUUCGAAGAUACGCGCAGAACCUUACCAACACUUGACAUGUUCGUCGCGACUCUAAGAGAUUAGAGUCUUCGGUUCGGCCGGACGAAACACAGGUGCUGCAUGGCUGUCGUCAGCUCGUGUCGUGAGAUGUUGGGUUAAGUCCCGCAACGAGCGCAACCCUCACUUUUAGUUGCCAUCAUUAAGUUGGGCACUCUGAAAGAACUGCCAGUGAUAAGCUGGAGGAAGGUGGGGAUGACGUCAAGUCCUCAUGGCCCUUACGUGUUGGGCUACACACGUGCUACAAUGGUAUCUACAACAGGAAGCAAAACUGCGAGGUUUAGCAAAUCCCUAAAAGAUACCUCAGUUCGGAUUGCACUCUGCAACUCGAGUGCAUGAAGCUGGAAUUACUAGUAAUCGUGGAUCAGCGUGCCACGGUGAAUGCGUUCCCGGGUCUUGUACACACCGCCCGUCACACCAUGGGAGUUGGUUCUACCUUAAGGCAAGGUUUAAAACCCUUGACCACGGUAUAGUCAGCGACUGGGGUGAAGUCGUAACAAGGUAGCCGUAGGGGAACCUGCGGCUG
This 1455-nucleotide ribosomal RNA is filed under the name Pelagibacteraceae bacterium AG-325-C10. RNAcentral's name for it is "bacterial SSU rRNA". It matches the Rfam family "Bacterial small subunit ribosomal RNA". The record is from RNAcentral. RNAcentral also lists the same sequence under 1 other name. Lineage: Bacteria; Pseudomonadati; Pseudomonadota; Alphaproteobacteria; Candidatus Pelagibacterales; Candidatus Pelagibacteraceae.